AGAGUUUGAUCCUGGCUCAGAGCAAACGCUGGCGGCAGGCUUAACACAUGCAAGUCGAGCGCCCCGCAAGGGGAGCGGCAGACGGGUGAGUAACACGUGGGGAUCUGCCCAAUGGUACGGAAUAACUCAGGGAAACUUGUGCUAAUACCGUAUGUGCCCGCAAGGGGAAAGAUUUAUCGCCAUUGGAUGAACCCGCGUCGGAUUAGCUAGUUGGUGUGGUAAGGGCGCACCAAGGCGACGAUCCGUAGCUGGCCUGAGAGGAUGAUCAGCCACACUGGGACUGAGACACGGCCCAGACUCCUACGGGAGGCAGCAGUGGGGAAUAUUGGACAAUGGGCGCAAGCCUGAUCCAGCCAUGCCGCGUGAGUGAUGAAGGCCUUAGGGUUGUAAAGCUCUUUCGCCGACGAAGAUAAUGACGGUAGUCGGAGAAGAAGCCCCGGCUAACUUCGUGCCAGCAGCCGCGGUAAU
RNAcentral lists this ribosomal RNA (468 nucleotides) under uncultured soil bacterium. Its description in RNAcentral is "bacterial SSU rRNA". It matches the Rfam family "Bacterial small subunit ribosomal RNA", at positions 8 to 524 of the family's 1533-position model. The record is from RNAcentral.